Peromyscus maniculatus bairdii (prairie deer mouse) is the source of this 1227-nucleotide non-coding RNA. The record is from RefSeq and is a predicted model, not a curated record. Lineage: Eukaryota; Metazoa; Chordata; Mammalia; Rodentia; Cricetidae.
AACAUUAGCAGGGUGGAUAAGAACGUGGUAUCUCAAGCCAGGUGGCUGGAGCGCAAAUCCUGGUGCUCCAUGCGACUUCGGUUGGGAUUAUUUAACUUCUCUGUGGCUAGUUUUCCCUCAUGUAAAUUGGGGAUCUGUAGCAAUAAUUUGCUUCACAAGUUUGUGAGGGUCUCAGCGUUGGUCAGUCAAGCUCUUCCACUGACCCCCCGGGCUCUGCAAACGCUCCCUGACUGUGGGACAGAGUCCGCAGUGUCGACAGGAUGAUGACGUAAGCUCUCCACGCUGCAGCAGUUAACGCCGUGUGUCAUCCGCUGUAACUCUGAAAACUCAAAUCACAGGGCCAGGGUGGGGCUCAGCGGCAGGGUGCUUACCUAGCAUUUUGUGAGGCCCUGGAUUUGAACUCCAGCAGAAAACAAACACCAGACCCAAACAAACAACAAGCAAACAAAAACCGCAGGCUCAAAAUAAACAAAAUUUGGAUGGAUGAACAGGAACGGACAGGCUCAGUCAAACCCCUACCUACAUCAUCAUUUACUGAGCAAAGGUCAGGCUUGAGAAACCAUUAAACACCAGGGCAAACAAACAUACAGACCGGACUAGCCAUCCGCUACAGUUUGGUGCUUACGGCCAGGUCUGGGCUAAAAAGCUGAGGGAGACGGUGGGCAGCGUGGAGAGAGUUCAAGGCCAAGGCCAUGCUGGAGGAAGAGAUGCAUCAAUUUUGUGAUUAUCAAUAAUUACAUCUUCAGAAUGGAAUGGACGACGGGGUGUGCGUUGAGAUGGUGAUGUCACUGCAUGAGGAAAGUAUCCUGGAUUCCAGUUGUUAAUGUGUUUUUAAUAGCCAAGAAAUUCUUCCCCCGACAUUAAAUGACCCAGGCAUUAUCUAAAAUCCCAGGGAGGCUUGCAUUUUCCCACGGUCUGGGGGGAUGGGGGGUGGCGUCUGCUCUUUACUGUCCUGGCGAUUUUCUUAGCCUCUGUGGAGGAAGGAAAGACACUGAAUGGAGGGAGAUUCAGGGAGGCUUUGGGAGGGGAUGAAGUGGGUUUUAAAAGAAGCAAGAGUCUUGAGGGAUGGAAAAGACCACCACCCUGUAUGUCCCAUGUCUGCAUUUCAAGAGGGAUUUAUAGAAUAACAAUGGACAACAAGGACAGGCGAGACAGUUGUUUAUCUUGAACCGUUUAGGGGGCCCCCAGGCAGUGGGAUUGGGACCGGUCCCUGGUGCAUGAGCCGGC